AAAUUGAAGAGUUUGAUCCUGGCUCAGAUUGAACGCUGGCGGCAGGCCUAACACAUGCAAGUCGAACGGUAACAGGAAGCAGCUUGCUGCUUCGCUGACGAGUGGCGGACGGGUGAGUAAUGUCUGGGAAACUGCCUGAUGGAGGGGGAUAACUACUGGAAACGGUGGCUAAUACCGCAUAACGUCGCAAGACCAAAGAGGGGGACCUUCGGGCCUCUUGCCAUCAGAUGUGCCCAGAUGGGAUUAGCUAGUUGGUGAGGUAACGGCUCACCAAGGCGACGAUCCCUAGCUGGUCUGAGAGGAUGACCAGCCACACUGGAACUGAGACACGGUCCAGACUCCUACGGGAGGCAGCAGUGGGGAAUAUUGCACAAUGGGCGCAAGCCUGAUGCAGCCAUGCCGCGUGUAUGAAGAAGGCGUUCGGGUUGUAAAGUACUUUCAGCGGGGAGGAAGGUGUUGUGGUUAAUAACCGCAGCAGAUUGACGUUACCCGCAGAAGAAGCACCGGCUAACUCCGUGCCAGCAGCCGCGGUAAUACGGAGGGUGCAAGCGUUAAUCGGAAUUACUGGGCGUAAAGCGCACGCAGGCGGUCUGUCAAGUCGGAUGUGAAAUCCCCGGGCUCAACCUGGGAACUGCAUUCGAAACUGGCAGGCUUGAGUCUUGUAGAGGGGGGUAGAAUUCCAGGUGUAGCGGUGAAAUGCGUAGAGAUCUGGAGGAAUACCGGUGGGGCGAAGGCGGCCCCCUGGACAAAGACUGACGCUCAGGUGCGAAACCGUGGGGAGCAAACAGGAUUAGAUACCCUGGUAGUCCACGCCGUAAACGAUGUCUACUUGGAGGUUGUGCCCUUGAGAGCGUGGCUUCCGGAGCUAACGCGUUAAGUAGACCGCCUGGGGAGUACGGCCGCAAGCUUAAAACUCAAAUGAAUUGACGGGGGCCCGCACAAGCGGUGGAGCAUGUGGUUUAAUUCGAUCCAACGCGAAGAACCUUACCUGGUCUUGACAUCCACAGAACUUUCCAGAGAUGGACUGGUGCCUUCGGGAACUGUGAGACAGGUGCUGCAUGGCUGUCGUCAGCUCGUGUUGUGAAAUGUUGGGUUAAGUUCCGCAACGAGCGCAACCCUUAUCCUUUGUUGCCAGCGGUCCGGCCGGGAACUCAAAGGAGACUGCCAGUGAUAAACUGGAGGAAGGUGGGGAUGACGUCA
RNAcentral lists this ribosomal RNA (1200 nucleotides) under Salmonella enterica subsp. enterica serovar Paratyphi B. RNAcentral describes it as "bacterial SSU rRNA". It matches the Rfam family "Bacterial small subunit ribosomal RNA", at positions 1 to 1187 of the family's 1533-position model. Lineage: Bacteria; Pseudomonadati; Pseudomonadota; Gammaproteobacteria; Enterobacterales; Enterobacteriaceae. The record is from RNAcentral.